Molecule: ribosomal RNA, 505 nt
Filed under: uncultured bacterium
Lineage: Bacteria
Description: bacterial SSU rRNA
Rfam family: Bacterial small subunit ribosomal RNA
Source: RNAcentral
CUGGCGGCGUGCCUAACACAUGCAAGUCGAACGGGGAUUUUGUUUCGGCAGAAUCCUAGUGGCGAACGGGUGAGUAACGCGUAGGCAACCUGCCCUCCGGCCGGGGACAACACUCCGAAAGGGGUGCUAAUACCGGAUACGAAGUCUGUGCCGCAUGGUACGGAUUUGAAAGAUGGCCUCUAUUUAUAAGCUAUCGCCGGGGGAUGGGCCUGCGUCCGAUUAGCUGGUUGGUGGGGUAACGGCCUACCAAGGCGACGAUCGGUAGCCGGUCUGAGAGGAUGAACGGCCACAUUGGGACUGAGACACGGCCCAGACUCCUACGGGAGGCAGCAGUGGGGAAUCUUCCGCAAUGGGCGCAAGCCUGACGGAGCAACGCCGCGUGAGUGAGGAAGUUCUUCGGAACGUAAAGCUCUGUUGUUCCUGACGAACCUCCCCUCUAUCAACAACGGAAGGGACUGACGGUAGGGAACGAGGAAGCCACGGCUAACUACGUGCCAGCCGCCGC